Molecule: ribosomal RNA, 513 nt
Filed under: uncultured bacterium
Lineage: Bacteria
Description: partial 16S ribosomal RNA
Rfam family: Bacterial small subunit ribosomal RNA
Source: RNAcentral
GAUGAACGCUGGCGGCGUGCCUAAUACAUGCAAGUCGAGCGAACAGACGAGGAGCUUGCUCCUCUGACGUUAGCGGCGGACGGGUGAGUAACACGUGGAUAACCUACCUAUAAGACUGGGAUAACUUCGGGAAACCGGAGCUAAUACCGGAUAAUAUAUUGAACCGCAUGGUUCAAUAGUGAAAGACGGUUUUGCUGUCACUUAUAGAUGUAUCCGCGCCGCAUUAGCUAGUUGGUAAGGUAACGGCUUACCAAGGCAACGAUGCGUAGCCGACCUGAGAGGGUGAGCGGCCACACUGGAACUGAGACACGGUCCAGACUCCUACGGGAGGCAGCAGUAGGGAAUCUUCCGCAAUGGGCGAAAGCCUGACGGAGCAACGCCGCGUGAGUGACGAAGGUCUUCGGAUCGUAAAACUCUGUUAUUAGGGAAGAACAAAUGUGUAAGUAACUAUGCACGUCUUGACGGUACCUAAUCAGAAAGCCACGGCUAACUACGUGCCAGCAGCCGCCGUAA